This 215-nucleotide ribosomal RNA is filed under the name Bacillus sp. 7894-2. Its description in RNAcentral is "partial 23S ribosomal RNA". It matches the Rfam family "Bacterial large subunit ribosomal RNA", at positions 68 to 281 of the family's 2925-position model. The record is from RNAcentral. Lineage: Bacteria; Bacillati; Bacillota; Bacilli; Caryophanales; Bacillaceae.
CCGAUAUGCUUCGGGGAGCUGUAAGUAAGCUUUGAUCCGGAGAUUUCCGAAUGGGGAAACCCCCUAUCCGUAAUGGGAUAGGAUCUUUACCUGAAUACAUAGGGUAUGGAAGGCAGACCCGGGGAACUGAAACAUCUAAGUACCCGGAGGAAGAGAAAGCAAACGCGAUUCCCUGAGUAGCGGCGAGCGAAACGGGAUUAGCCCAAACCAGGAGG